Molecule: ribosomal RNA, 253 nt
Filed under: uncultured bacterium
Lineage: Bacteria
Description: partial 16S ribosomal RNA
Rfam family: Bacterial small subunit ribosomal RNA
Source: RNAcentral
UACGUAGGGUGCAAGCGUUGUCCGGAAUUAUUGGGCGUAAAGAGCUCGUAGGCGGUUUGUCGCGUCGGCUGUGAAAACCUGGGGCUCAACCCCGGGCCUGCAGCCGAUACGGGCAAACUAGAAUUCGGUAGGGGAGACUGGAAUUCCUGGUGUAGCGGUGGAAUGCGCAGAUAUCAGGAGGAACACCGGUGGCGAAGGCGGAUCUCUGGGCCAUAACUGACGCUGAGGAGCGAAAGCAUGGGGAGCGAACAGG